This 18-nucleotide ribosomal RNA is filed under the name Hamamelistes similibetulae. RNAcentral describes it as "partial 12S ribosomal RNA". The record is from RNAcentral. Lineage: Eukaryota; Metazoa; Arthropoda; Insecta; Hemiptera; Hormaphididae.
GACGAUAUAUUUAAUUUU